CCCACACCCAUUGUCAUAUCAAAUAUUUACGGAAACAAGCGAGAGAGCGUCCGAAACAAGUUCGGAUUCCGUCUUUAAGAUAUGUACGAGUAUGUGGAGUACUAUUUAUCUCUUUCGAAAGUGGAAAACUAUCCAGAGAACACCACAGUUUCACGGGGAAGUGUUUUGUUGGGAUCAAUAAAAGCCACAGAAGUCGGCGAACACAACUCAGUUGAAAACCGAAAAUGAAGAUCUUUUGUGUGGGCGCACUCGUAAUUCUUGGACUCUCUGGGGCCAUGGCAAAUAUUGGAGUAGGAUGGUCUUUCAAAAAGAAAUAAAAUGUUGCGUUCAAAAUAAAGUCAAACAGAUGCAUUUCAAGCAACGCGCACAAUAAA
Molecule: long non-coding RNA, 374 nt
Organism: Drosophila miranda
Lineage: Eukaryota; Metazoa; Arthropoda; Insecta; Diptera; Drosophilidae
Exons: 2
Source: RefSeq, a predicted model, not a curated record